RNAcentral lists this ribosomal RNA (197 nucleotides) under uncultured bacterium. Its description in RNAcentral is "partial 16S ribosomal RNA". It matches the Rfam family "Bacterial small subunit ribosomal RNA", at positions 328 to 539 of the family's 1533-position model. The record is from RNAcentral.
ACGCUCGACACCUACGGGAGGCAGCAGUGGGAAUAUUGCACAAUGGGGGAAACCCUGAUGCAGCGACGCCGCGUGAAGGAAGAAGUAUCUCGGUAUGUAAACUUCUAUCAGCAGGGAAGAAAAUGACGGUACCUGACUAAGAAGCCCCGGCUAACUACGUGCCCGCAGCCGCGGUAAUCUGAGCGGGCUGGCAAGGC